CAGUAGCCGCGGUAAUACGUAGGGUGCGAGCGUUAAUCGGAAUUACUGGGCGUAAAGCGUGCGCAGGCGGUUUUGUAAGACAGAGGUGAAAUCCCCGGGCUCAACCUGGGAACUGCCUUUGUGACUGCAAGGCUAGAGUACGGCAGAGGGGGAUGGAAUUCCGCGUGUAGCAGUGAAAUGCGUAGAUAUGCGGAGGAACACCGAUGGCGAAGGCAAUCCCCUGGGCCUGUACUGACGCUCAUGCACGAAAGCGUGGGGAGCAAACAGGAUUAGAUACCCGUGUAGUCCCUGUCUCUUAUAA
Molecule: ribosomal RNA, 301 nt
Filed under: uncultured bacterium
Lineage: Bacteria
Description: partial 16S ribosomal RNA
Rfam family: Bacterial small subunit ribosomal RNA
Source: RNAcentral